AACGAACGCUGGCGGCAGGCCUAACACAUGCAAGUCGAGCGAGGACUUCGGUCCUAGCGGCGGACGGGUGAGUAACGCGUGGGAACGUGCCCUUUGCUUCGGAAUAGCCCUGGGAAACUGGGAGUAAUACCGGAUGAGCCCUUUGGGGGAAAGAUUUAUCGGCGAAGGAUCGGCCCGCGUUGGAUUAGGUAGUUGGUGGGGUAAUGGCCUACCAAGCCGACGAUCCAUAGCUGGUUUGAGAGGAUGAUCAGCCACACUGGGACUGAGACACGGCCCAGACCCAGAGGGGGGGGGGAGGUGAGUACUGCAAGCGAAGGGUGGAAACCCUACUCUAGCCACGGGUGGUAUGGUGGGAGUGCCUGAGGUUUGUAACUCUCUUUGACCUGGAAAGAUAAUGCCGAUACCAGCAAAAGAACCCCCGGCUAACCACGGGACAGCAGCCGAGGAAUAAGCGAAAGACAACCGUCUGAAC
RNAcentral lists this ribosomal RNA (472 nucleotides) under uncultured bacterium. RNAcentral's name for it is "partial 16S ribosomal RNA". It matches the Rfam family "Bacterial small subunit ribosomal RNA", at positions 33 to 541 of the family's 1533-position model. The record is from RNAcentral.